This is a long non-coding RNA of Ochotona curzoniae (black-lipped pika), 751 nucleotides long. RefSeq lists it as uncharacterized. The transcript has 5 exons. The record is from RefSeq and is a predicted model, not a curated record. Lineage: Eukaryota; Metazoa; Chordata; Mammalia; Lagomorpha; Ochotonidae.
GGCUUCAGCCUAGCGCCGCUGUAUACACCCUCUGCUGCUCUGAUGAAUGGAAACCAGACACAAGCAAGUUAGUUUCGUUUUCCCUAGGCACAGCUCCUCGGUGUUUGGCGAGAUGACUGUAUGAGAUGGGUGUGAACAGGAGACCCCAGCGGGAGAACUGACAGCUUUUGCAAGAAAGGAGCAUGCAGCAGAGCUAUUUCAGAAUCACAGCCCUCCUCCACCCAGGCACCCUGGCAUCAACUGGAGCUGUGCUUGUUAAAAGGCAGGAUCUGGAUCUCCUGAGUGGUCCUUCCUGUUUCUGCAACUCAGGACCAAUGGGAGACUCAAUGCCUUGCACCUGGCAAGAACAGCAGAUUCCUCAGGAGUGUUUGCUUUGAAGAUGACCCUGGCGCAGGCUGAGACACAUGUCCUGGCUCCCCAGAUGCAGCAGCACCAUGCGUCACCGAGCAAGAUGUCCCUGCUGGAUGCCACCUUGGCUAACUCAGCCAUUUGACCACAAAGCCCAAGGGCUCGGAUAAACAUCACUAACAUCUGUGGAGAAACAUAAGCCACAGUAUGGUUAAUCUGUUACCAGGAAAACCAACCCUGGGCACACCAGCGGCAUCUGGGAAGGCAACGAAUUCGUAUAUCCCAAAGUCAUCCAGUGCAUCCUCGUGGCCUGGAAACGAAGCAAAUGACACUUACAAACCAAGUGCCUUUUGAUUUGCUGUUGCUAGUUCUAGAAACCUGUGGAAAGCUUUACUGUUUUAAA